AGACGAGUGGCCGAGUGGUUAAGCGAUGGACUGCUAAUCCAUUGUGCUUCUGCACGCGUGGGUUCGAAUCCCAUCCUCGUCGA
This 83-nucleotide transfer RNA is filed under the name Saccoglossus kowalevskii. RNAcentral describes it as "tRNA-Ser". It matches the Rfam family "tRNA". Rfam says of the family: Transfer RNA (tRNA) molecules are approximately 80 nucleotides in length. Their secondary structure includes four short double-helical elements and three loops (D, anti-codon, and T loops). Further hydrogen bonds mediate the characteristic L-shaped molecular structure. tRNAs have two regions of fundamental functional importance: the anti-codon, which is responsible for specific mRNA codon recognition, and the 3' end, to which the tRNAs corresponding amino acid is attached (by aminoacyl-tRNA synthetases). tRNAs cope with the degeneracy of the genetic code in two manners: having more than one tRNA (with a specific anti-codon) for a particular amino acid; and 'wobble' base-pairing, i.e. permitting non-standard base-pairing at the 3rd anti-codon position. The record is from RNAcentral. Lineage: Eukaryota; Metazoa; Hemichordata; Enteropneusta; Harrimaniidae.